RNAcentral lists this ribosomal RNA (381 nucleotides) under uncultured eukaryote. RNAcentral describes it as "partial 18S ribosomal RNA". It matches the Rfam family "Eukaryotic small subunit ribosomal RNA", at positions 592 to 976 of the family's 1831-position model. The record is from RNAcentral.
CAAUAGCGUAUAUUAAAGUUGUUGCAGUUAAAAAGCUCGUAGUUGGAUUUCUGGUUGAAGCGACCGGUCGGGCGUUGAUUCGUCUGCACUGGAGUCGGUUUUGGCCAUCCUCUAGGAAAGUGCGUCUGGUAUUAAGUUAUCGGGCGUAUGAUCCUGGUCUUUUACUGUGAAAAAAUUAGAGUGUUUAAAGCAGGCCUUCGCCUUGAAUACAUUAGCAUGGAAUAAUAAGAUAGGACUUUGGUCUAUUUUGUUGGUUUGCAGACCGAAGUAAUGAUUAAUAGGGAUAGUUGGGGUAUUUAUAUUCCGAUGUCAGAGGUGAAAUUCUUAGAUUUUCGGAAGAUAAACUUAUGCGAAAGCAUUUACCAAGGAUGUUUUCAUUAA